Long non-coding RNA from Pipistrellus kuhlii (Kuhl's pipistrelle), 785 nucleotides. RefSeq lists it as uncharacterized. The record is from RefSeq and is a predicted model, not a curated record. The transcript is spliced from 2 exons. Lineage: Eukaryota; Metazoa; Chordata; Mammalia; Chiroptera; Vespertilionidae.
GGGAUCAAGCCCAAAACCCAGGCAUGUGCCCAGACUGGGAAUCAAACCGUGACCUCCUGGUUCAUAGGUCCAAACUCAACCACUGAGCCACGCCGGUUAGGCUCAUCUGUCAUUAAGUUACCCACACUGAAAGGUCUGGCUCAAGCCUUACCUCUUCUGAAAUCUUCCAUGAUCACCACAACCAAGAGUGAACUGCCUCCCUUCCAACACCCAGAGGCCACAGUUUGGGUAACAAGAUAUAAUCAAUGUGAGAGGCCAAGCUCCACAUACAUGGACAAGCAUGGGGAAGAAUGACCUGGGCAUAGGAGAGGGGAGAAACCAUGACCAAGGAAAAGCAUAAGUCCUCACUGUUGGGAGACUCUUUAUUCAAAGAACUAGAGCUAUAGUCAAAGUCCAUUCUAUUCUAAAGAUUCAAUAAGCAAAGGCACAAAUGUCCGGCAUGAAGAAUGAACUUGGACAGUCUAUCAACCUGAUAGGCCUUGGAGAAGGCUGGAAAGAAAAGCAACAGAAAUUAGUGAAGGUGAUCCAUAGAAGGAGCAUGACAGCCACAUGUAUCAAAGCUUAUAAGGAGGGGGCCAGCUUAACAAUCCUGACACAGAUGCUGGACCACCAGGCAAUGAAGGAAUCAAGGUCCAGUCAUCAUAAAGAUAAGUACCAUCAGCUAAGCCCAGAGACACUGGGACUACUGGUUUUGUAGAAGCCUAGAAACUUUUCCCAGAUGAUAUACCCUAAUUUCUCAAGUAACAUCAUCACUUAUUAAAAAAGACUGACAGUCCCAAAAUCAC